GACGAACGCUGGCGGCGUGCUUAACACAUGCAAGUCGAACGGUGAAGCGCUUAGGAGGGGCUCCGUGGCGUACGGGUGGGUAACUCGUGGGCAACUUGCUCACGGACCUGGGAUAACUCCAAGAAAUUGGGGCACAUAACCGAUGUUCACCGCAUCCCGCCUGGGUGGUGGUGCAAAGGGUUUCCGGGUGGGGGUGGGCACGUGGCCUAUCAGCCUGCUGGUGGGGUAGUGGCCUUCCAAGGCGACGGCGGGAAGGCGGCCAGGGGUGGUGACCGGCCACACUGGGUCCGAGGCGCGGCACAGGCUCCUACGGGAGGCAACAGUGGGGAAUAUUGCGGAAUGGGCGGAGGCCUGACGAAGCGACGCCGCGUGUGGGAAGACGGCCUUCGGGUUGUAAACCUCUUUCAGCAGUGACGAAGCGCGAGUGACGGUACCUGCAGAAGAAGCCCCGGCCAACUACGUG
RNAcentral lists this ribosomal RNA (463 nucleotides) under uncultured bacterium. RNAcentral describes it as "partial 16S ribosomal RNA". It matches the Rfam family "Bacterial small subunit ribosomal RNA", at positions 28 to 507 of the family's 1533-position model. The record is from RNAcentral.